AGUCGAACGGUAACAGGAAGCAGCUUGCUGCUUCGCUGACGAGUGGCGGACGGGUGAGUAAUGUCUGGGAAACUGCCUGAUGGAGGGGGAUAACUACUGGAAACGGUAGCUAAUACCGCAUAACGUCGCAAGACCAAAGAGGGGGACCUUCGGGCCUCUUGCCAUCGGAUGUGCCCAGAUGGGAUUAGCUAGUAGGUGGGGUAACGGCUCACCUAGGCGACGAUCCCUAGCUGGUCUGAGAGGAUGACCAGCCACACUGGAACUGAGACACGGUCCAGACUCCUACGGGAGGCAGCAGUGGGGAAUAUUGCACAAUGGGCGCAAGCCUGAUGCAGCCAUGCCGCGUGUAUGAAGAAGGCCUUCGGGUUGUAAAGUACUUUCAGCGGGGAGGAAGGCGACAGGGUUAAUAACCCUGUCGAUUGACGUUACCCGCAGAAGAAGCACCGGCUAACUCCGUGCCAGCAGCCGCGGUAAUACGGAGGGUGCAAGCGUUAAUCGGAAUUACUGGGCGUAAAGCGCACGCAGGCGGUCUGUCAAGUCGGAUGUGAAAUCCCCGGGCUCAACCUGGGAACUGCAUUCGAAACUGGCAGGCUAGAGUCUUGUAGAGGGGGGUAGAAUUCCAGGUGUAGCGGUGAAAUGCGUAGAGAUCUGGAGGAAUACCGGUGGCGAAG
This 671-nucleotide ribosomal RNA is filed under the name uncultured Enterobacterales bacterium. RNAcentral's name for it is "bacterial SSU rRNA". It matches the Rfam family "Bacterial small subunit ribosomal RNA", at positions 60 to 720 of the family's 1533-position model. Lineage: Bacteria; Pseudomonadati; Pseudomonadota; Gammaproteobacteria; Enterobacterales. The record is from RNAcentral.